AAUGUCAUCACUGGCAGAAGUAGGGAGAACUGGCAGCAGGCAGGCUGGUAGUUAGCAUGGAGAUCACGAAGUCUGCUUUCCCUGAGCGUUCUGGGAGAAAACAGAGGAACAGCUCAGAAAUGCUGGUGUCAUUCCUCCCCUGGAAGGAAUGACCGGAAGGAGCCAGGCUGUUGCAAGCGUGAGGCAGAGAGCAAGUGCUAAAGCUGCAGCUGCACCUGCAAUCAAGGUAACACUGCUCCUCUCUCGCUCGGUUUAGAGGACUGCAUAGCUACAGCUAAUAGGAGAGCAACAGCACUGCAAAGUAAGGAAGGAGAGACGCAGACUGCUGCUGCAGACAUUUGUCUAUAUGUUAUUGUGGUUUUGUUACACUGUCAUAAGAAGGUGGAGAUGUGGUGGGUGCAGAUACAUCCAUCUUCUCUGGAGGUAACCUGUGUAAACCUGGUGACACGUUGCUCUGCCUGGUUAAAAAGCACCAGAUCUGCAUUCUUGACUGAUCCAGGUUGAUUUUACUCCUGUGAGAAGUAAGAACGCUUGCUUCCCCCAACAAGACCUUUGGAUACAUUCACCUGCUUUUUUCUUCAAAUUAUCUAUUCCCUUCUGAAUUCUUGCGAGAGCAAUCUAAAAUCAUCUCUGACUUCAGGUAAUGGUGAAAACAUUGAGCUAUGCCUGUAUGGACCAAAAAUCUGUUGCUAAAAACCAACAUGAUAUGAUCAUCUUCCACAAAAAAUCAUCUCUGACUUCAGGUGCAGUGCUAAACCAUGUCCCGCGGCACCACAUCUCUGCCUCUUUGAAACACCUCCAGGCACGGAGAUUCAACCACCUCACUGGGCAGCCUGUGCCAGUCUUUGAGAACCCUUUCAGUCAAGUUUCUUCUAGUAUCCAACCUGAAGCCUGGGAAGAAUCAAGUCCCAACAACUGGCAAGACAGAGUUCCCUGAAAGUGUUUGGGCACUGUCUGGACUGUGGCUGGCCUCGUGAGUCAGAGUGUGCAAAGGAAUAUACCAAAGCUCAACUCCUAGUAGAAAAUACCUGAGCUUCUUCUUGCUGCCGCCUCAGCUGUUCAAGCAUCUGCUGCAAGUCUGCUUCCCUCUGUUCUGCUUCAACCAUAGUUGCUUGAUUCUGCUCUUCAUAGGCCAUAGCAACCACGGCCAAAAUCAAGUUAAUCAAAUAGAAGGAACCCAGAAAAAUGACUAGAACAAAAAAAAUCAUGUAUGUUUUGCCAGCAGCUCGUAGAGUCUGUAGGAAAAGAAGAGACAUCAUCUGUCUGGUGAAGACAUGCAUCAGUUCUGUACUUCUUAAGCAUUAACUAAAUUUGAGAAGUGCUGCAAAACAUUAUUUCCUUCCAUAACAAGAUCACAGAAACUUUCUGGAUUACAAAGCAAUGAAAUAAAGGGAGCAUUUGUGUAUGUGAAAAACACCUUUAAGGAUCAUGUGUUCAAGAAAAGACUGGAUGAGGCACUUAGUGCCAGGGUCUAGUUGACUGGAUAGGGCUGGGUGCUAGGUUGGACUGGAUGAUCUUGAAGAUCUCUUCCAACCUGGUUGAUUCUAUGAAACUCUAUGCUGUGUCGCUGUAUAUAUUUAUUGGUGACAGACCAAAUAGCAACACAACAGACACAGCUGCAGCUGAAAGCCAAGGGCAAAAAGCCCAAAAGCCGUUCGUUGCUAUAUCCGCAGUCUUUUCUAUCCCAUUCUACAAGUUAUAGAAUACAGAGACUGGAUAAAAUAUCGUUCCCAACAUCCUUCUUGGACAACAGUGAUGUAAUAGUGGGAUGUUAGCUAUUUUAACACAGGCUCCUUUCAGUUCUUUGUUCUAAGUUAUGUCACUUCCAUGCAAAUGUUACCCAAGGCGAGAACACCAAUUUACUAUGUUUCUAUCCUCAAUCUUACUGCGCCAGGGACGCGCUCCAAAGAUACAUCAGUCAUCGCAUUUAGCUGACUCCUUUUUUUGCUUCCCACAAUGCUGCUUUAAGACAAACCUCCUUUAAUGCCUAACAAUGCAGAUAUGAGUGGCCUUUUCAUGUUUGAUUUGGGGCAAACCAGACACUAACCACAAAUGUUUACUCUGGACUCACCAGCUGAUAAAGAUCUUCCCAGUAGUCCUGUG
Molecule: long non-coding RNA, 2103 nt
Organism: Pogoniulus pusillus (Red-fronted tinkerbird)
Lineage: Eukaryota; Metazoa; Chordata; Aves; Piciformes; Lybiidae
Exons: 8
Source: RefSeq, a predicted model, not a curated record